Molecule: ribosomal RNA, 401 nt
Filed under: uncultured Halarchaeum sp.
Lineage: Archaea; Methanobacteriati; Methanobacteriota; Halobacteria; Halobacteriales; Halobacteriaceae
Description: bacterial SSU rRNA
Rfam family: Archaeal small subunit ribosomal RNA
Source: RNAcentral
ACUUUACACUGCACGCAAGUGCGAUACGGGGACUCCGAGUGUGUGGGCAUAGAGCCCACACUUUUGUGUACCGUAAGGUGGUACACGAAUAAGAGCUGGGCAAGACCGGUGCCAGCCGCCGCGGUAAUACCGGCAGCUCAAGUGAUGGCCGAUUUUAUUGGGCCUAAAGCGUCCGUAGCCGGCCGGGCAAGUCCGUUGGGAAAUCUGUUCGCUUACCGAACAGGCGUCCAGCGGAAACUGCUCGGCUUGGGACCGAAAGACCUGAGGGGUACGUCCGGGGUAGGAGUGAAAUCCUGUAAUCCUGGACGGACCACCGAUGGGGAAACCACCUCAGGAGGACGGAUCCGACGGUCAGGGACGAAAGCUAGGGUCUCGAAUCGGAUUAGAUACCCCCGUAGUCC